UUCCUACGGGAGGCAGCAGUGGGGAAUCUUGGUCAAUGGGCGCAAGCCUGAACCAGCGAUGCCGCGUGAGUGAUGAAGGCCUUCGGGUUGUAAAGCUCUGUGGGGAGGGACGAAAGAAUCGGUUCUAACAGGACCGAAGUUGACGGUACCUCCUUAGCAAGCACCGGCUAACUCUGUGCCAGCAGCCGCGGUAAGACAGAGGGUGCAAACGUUGCUCGGAAUCACUGGGCGUAAAGGGCGUGUAGGCGGGUAGGCAAGUCGGGCGUGAAAUCCCUGAGCUCAACUCAGGAACUGCACUCGAAACUGCUUAUCUUGAGUGCCGGAGAGGAAAGCGGAAUACCUGGUGUAGAGGUGAAAUUCGUAGAUAUCAGGUGGAACACCAGUGGCGAAGGCGGCUUUCUGGACGGUAACUGACGCUGAGACGCGAAAGCGUGGGGAGCAAACAGGAUUAGAUACCCUGGUAGUCCACGCUGUAAACGAUGAGUGCUAGGUGUCGUGGGUAUUGACCCCCGCGGUGCCGUAGCUAACGCAUUAAGCACUCCGCCUGGGAAGUACGGUCGCAAGACUAAAACUCAAAGGAAUUGACGGGGGCCCGCCAAGCUGUGUCGUGAGCAUGUUGGUUUAAUUCCCGCAACG
This 636-nucleotide ribosomal RNA is filed under the name uncultured bacterium. RNAcentral's name for it is "bacterial SSU rRNA". It matches the Rfam family "Bacterial small subunit ribosomal RNA", at positions 336 to 961 of the family's 1533-position model. The record is from RNAcentral.